UUUCCGUAGGUGAACCUGCGGAAGGAUCAUUAUCGUAGGGGCCUCGCCCCCUUCGAGAUAGCACCCUUUGUUUAUGAGCACCUCUCGUUUCCUCGGCAGGCUCGCCUGCCAAUGGGGACCACUUUAAAACCUCUUAUGUAUGCAGUAAACGUCCACAAAUAAAUAAAAUCAAAACUUUCAACAACGGAUCUCUUGGUUCUGGCAUCGAUGAAGAACGCAGC
RNAcentral lists this unclassified non-coding RNA (221 nucleotides) under uncultured fungus. RNAcentral describes it as "sequence contains ITS1, 5.8S rRNA gene". The stretch from base 173 to 221 matches the Rfam family "5.8S ribosomal RNA", at positions 1 to 49 of the family's 154-position model. The record is from RNAcentral. Lineage: Eukaryota; Fungi.